CCUUCCGUAGGGUGAACCUGCGGAAGGAUCAUUACU
RNAcentral lists this ribosomal RNA (36 nucleotides) under Candida albicans. RNAcentral describes it as "partial 18S ribosomal RNA". The record is from RNAcentral. Lineage: Eukaryota; Fungi; Ascomycota; Pichiomycetes; Serinales; Debaryomycetaceae.